RNAcentral lists this ribosomal RNA (697 nucleotides) under uncultured bacterium. RNAcentral describes it as "bacterial SSU rRNA". It matches the Rfam family "Bacterial small subunit ribosomal RNA", at positions 92 to 784 of the family's 1533-position model. The record is from RNAcentral.
GGAGCGGCGGACGGGUGAGUAACGCGUAGGAAUCUACCUAGUAGAAGGGGAUAGCCCGAGGAAACUCGGAUUAAUACCGUAUACCUCCUUCGGGAGAAAGAAGGCCUCUCUUUGAAGCUUUCGCUACUAGAUGAGCCUGCGUAAGAUUAGCUUGUUGGUGAGGUAAAGGCUCACCAAGGCUACGAUCUUUAGCGGGUCUGAGAGGACGAUCCGCCACAUUGGGACUGAGACACGGCCCAGACUCCUACGGGAGGCAGCAGUGGGGAAUAUUGGACAAUGGGCGAAAGCCUGAUCCAGCCAUACCGCGUAUGUGAAGAAGGCCCUAGGGUUGUAAAGCACUUUAAGUUGGGAAGAAAAGUUAUUGGUUAAUACCCAAUGACCGUGACAUUACCAUCAGAAUAAGGACCGGCUAAUUCCGUGCCAGCAGCCGCGGUAAUACGGAAGGUCCAAGCGUUAAUCGGAAUUACUGGGCGUAAAGCGCGCGUAGGUGGUUUAUUAAGUUGGGUGUGAAAUCCCCGGGCUCAACCUGGGAACUGCAUCCAAAACUGAUUCACUAGAGUACGAUAGAGGGAGGUAGAAUUCACAGUGUAGCGGUGGAAUGCGUAGAUAUUGUGAAGAAUACCAAUGGCGAAGGCAGCCUCCUGGAUCUGUACUGACACUGAGGUGCGAAAGCGUGGGUAGCGAACAGGAUUAGAUC